RNAcentral lists this ribosomal RNA (494 nucleotides) under uncultured bacterium. Its description in RNAcentral is "partial 16S ribosomal RNA". It matches the Rfam family "Bacterial small subunit ribosomal RNA", at positions 28 to 523 of the family's 1533-position model. The record is from RNAcentral.
GAUGAACGCUAGCGGCAGGCCUAACACAUGCAAGUCGAGCGGGAUCCACCUUCGGGUGGUGAGAGCGGCGCACGGGUGCGUAACACGUAUGCAAUCUACCUUAUACUGGGACAUAACAGCGAGAAAUUGUUGCUAAUUUCCCAUAACACUGAGAAGUGGCAUCACUUUGCAUUUAAAGCUCCGGCGGUAUAAGAUGAGCAUGCGCCCAAUUAGCUAGUUGGUGAGGUAAUGGCUCACCAAGGCUACGAUUGGUAGGGGUUCUGAGAGGAUGAUCCCCCACACUGGUACUGAGACACGGACCAGACUCCUACGGGAGGCAGCAGUGAGGAAUAUUGCGCAAUGGAGGCAACUCUGACGCAGCCAUGCCGCGUGAAGGAUGAAGGUCCUAUGGAUUGUAAACUUCUUUUAUAUGGGAAUAAAAUCUUCUACGUGUAGGAGACUGAAGGUACCAUAAGAAUAAGCACCGGCUAACUCCGUGCCAGCCGCCGCAGUAA